UGGAAUAUUAAAUAAAGCUGUUUUGUGAACAUCAUGUGGAUUUAUAAAAAUAGUUUUCUACCCCUCGUGGUAGCUCGUUUUUAAAAGAAAAUAAAAUAUUUUCAUGUGAGAAACAGUUUUAAAAAGGUUUUCUCGGCAUUUCAUGAUUUUAGUAUUUUUAAAUGAGUUUUUGGGUAGAAAAUACUUUCAACUGAUAGUUGUGAAAUAUUGUGAAUGUACCGUUGUGAUUGGUUGUGGUUGUGAUUUGUAUUGUGUGCGACACCGUGCAAAUACAGAGGAGACUCUGUCCGUGUGAACAGUGAAUUAUUUGUAUUUGUGGCGUGUCUGUCAUCCUUUGGGUCAAGGUUUCAAAAAAAAUUUUGGGCACUUUCCGCUAAUCUGUAGGCUUUAAGUGUAACACACUGAACUUUAGCAAAUUACAGUGUUCGAGUGUUUGAUUUGUGUUCUAAGUCUUU
Molecule: long non-coding RNA, 455 nt
Filed under: Ananas comosus (pineapple)
Lineage: Eukaryota; Viridiplantae; Streptophyta; Magnoliopsida; Poales; Bromeliaceae
Description: long non-coding RNA (ACOM_LNC025869)
Source: RNAcentral